AUGUACAAUUGCAAUUCUUACAACUAGACGUUUAAUUGCAAUGAAAGUGCUGCCUCUCUUUAGUUAGUUUCAACUUUUAGAUUGUAGCCGUUCUUGAUUGGGGGGAAAAUAAUCAAUCUGAUCAGGAAGUAAAACUUGAAAAGUCAUUGUGGACAGUUAACUGUAUGUACUCAGUUACUGGUUGGUUGUAACAGAAGGCUAUUACAUUACAUUAUUUCUCAGUGAGAGAAGAACUUCUAGCUGUUGUUAAACCCAUCCAUUACAUUCUCAGCAAGAAAAACGUAAGACGGUUUUGGCGGACAAAUUUCGCCAUAAAGAUGACAACUAGCAGAACAAAUUAAUGAUGGUAGAUGACAGGGACGUAGAAAAUCUCCAGUAAUUAGAAAGUCUACACUUUACAGGUGGGGUUGAAAAAGACGUACUUCUACAGAAAAAGAAGAAGAAAAACUGUCAUUUAACAACAAUGUCAUGGCAGACCUAUUUAUUUUGUUCUUUUUACUGUUUUCAAAUGUCUAAACAUGAAUUGAGAAUUUAUAGGAACAUAGUUUGUUAUGGAAACAAUAUUACUUCAUGUAGUCAUUCCAUCUGAAUGUUUAAUGUUUAGAGAGAAACUCUACACUAAGGAAAAUAAACAUUAAACAUGUUCACUAUA
Molecule: long non-coding RNA, 652 nt
Organism: Xenia sp. Carnegie-2017
Lineage: Eukaryota; Metazoa; Cnidaria; Anthozoa; Malacalcyonacea; Xeniidae
Exons: 2
Source: RefSeq, a predicted model, not a curated record